UGAAAAUUAGUUAAAUCCUUAUAACAUAAGGGUGUCAACCUUAAAUUAUUAUUAACAUAAUAUUUUCUA
This 69-nucleotide transfer RNA is filed under the name Pedetontinus luanchuanensis. RNAcentral's name for it is "tRNA-Asp". The record is from RNAcentral. Lineage: Eukaryota; Metazoa; Arthropoda; Insecta; Archaeognatha; Machilidae.